RNAcentral lists this ribosomal RNA (465 nucleotides) under uncultured Klebsiella sp. RNAcentral's name for it is "bacterial SSU rRNA". It matches the Rfam family "Bacterial small subunit ribosomal RNA", at positions 338 to 795 of the family's 1533-position model. The record is from RNAcentral. Lineage: Bacteria; Pseudomonadati; Pseudomonadota; Gammaproteobacteria; Enterobacterales; Enterobacteriaceae.
CCUACGGGUGGCUGCAGUGGGGCAUAUUGCACAAUGGGCGCAAGCCUGAUGCAGCCAUGCCGCGUGUGUGAAGAAGGCCUUCGGGUUGUAAAGCACUUUCAGCGGGGAGGAAGGCGGUGAGGUUAAUAACCUCAUCGAUUGACGUUACCCGCAGAAGAAGCACCGGCUAACUCCGUACCAGCAGCCGCGGUAAUACGGAGGGUGCGAGCGUUAAUCGGAAUUACUGGGCGUACAGCGCACGCAGGCGGUCUGUCAAGUCGGAUGUGAAAUCCCCGGGCUCAACCUGGGAACUGCAUUCGAAACUGGCAGGCUAGAGUCUUGUAGAGGGGGGUAGAAUUCCAGGUGUAGCGGUGAAAUGCGUAGAGAUCUGGAGGAAUACCGGUGGCGAAGGCGGCCCCCUGGACAAAGACUGACGCUCAGGUGCGAAAGCGUGGGGAGCAAACAGGAUUAGAUACCCCUGUAGUC